AAAUGACUGAUUAAGACACCACAGCUGUACUGUUACUGUCACAAUCUAUUUUUCUUAUGCAAUGUGCUUCUUAUUCUGCAUUCCUUUUGAUUUUUUUUUAGCAUUCCAUCCCAACUUGAUUUUUAAAUAAAUUGAUAGCAACAGAGUAAUGUCUGUGGUUGGAUUUUAUAAUGACAGUUUUUUUUUCUUAUUUGAAUCAAUAAUCUGGAUGAGGAUUGAAUUGUGUGUGCCGCUUCCAGAAAGAGGAGGCUCAGUUGGGGGCUGAGUUUGAAGGAUGGACACAAUAUUUUUUUCUAUAGGCCUGGAUUGGCCAUCGGGCUAAACAGGCAUUGGGUCGUGCCCAAUGGACAAUCAUACAAUGCCUUAUUGGAACCCAUCCUUUAGCGAGCGGACCCAUGUCCACUCAAGUCUUUCAUAGUUUUGUUUUCAUUCUGUGAAUUUAGGGUGAUCUUCUUUUCUAUAUAUACAUCAUAUGAUUUCAUGAACCAAUGAGCCUCUGUAUUACAGUAAAUUUCAAUCUGAUGACAUCACUUCCUUCACAUGAGCCAAUCAGAUGAAGGAUAGAAAGGGA
Long non-coding RNA from Spea bombifrons (plains spadefoot toad), 571 nucleotides. RefSeq lists it as uncharacterized. The transcript has 3 exons. Lineage: Eukaryota; Metazoa; Chordata; Amphibia; Anura; Pelobatidae. The record is from RefSeq and is a predicted model, not a curated record.